Molecule: small RNA, 1214 nt
Filed under: Caenorhabditis elegans
Lineage: Eukaryota; Metazoa; Nematoda; Chromadorea; Rhabditida; Rhabditidae
Description: Unclassified non-coding RNA T17H7.9
Source: RNAcentral
AACGCGGAGCUAGACGAACUUUCAAAACGCGCCGAAGAGCUUCGAAAACGAGACGGAUGGUCCAAGUAUAAGCUCGUCGAGUCGGAUAUCUACAAGACCGAUCCGGAUCCAAUGCCAGCCAAUAUUAAGGUCUUAAUUGCUUUAAAUACCCUACCGCUUUGUCCUCUUAACACUAGAUAGGUUUAGGAUCAAGUUCGCGACUUGCUCGAGUCGAGAAACUCCGUGGAGACGACGACAACGCAGAGAGAUCAUGACAAAUCUGGAUAUGUGACGGUUAGUUUUUUUUUGAGUUUUUUCUUAGCACACUUACCCCCCUCACGAUUGAGAGUGUGAUUGUGUUUUGUGAAAUGUGGAAAUGACACGUGGAAUGUUUUGAGAAUAGUUUGAGAACAUUCAGUUUUAACGUUUACCGUCAUACUUAAAAACGAUACAUUUUUCAUUCGAAAGUGUUCCAUAAGGAUAUGUCACUUCAAAAUUUUAAGCGGCCAAACUCUAUUCUCAACUCCUAAAAAUAUCGAUCUGAAAUUUUUUUAAGUGCAAUUUUUCACAACUUUGAAUUCCUUUGGUAUUGCUCAAAAUGCUCUUUUUUGCAAAAUUUAAUGUUUUUUUUUCAGAACAGUUAGAAGUAGGUUAACAUGAUGGGAGAUUUUUGAAAAAAAAUUUCUGUAAAAAAUCUUAAAAUUGAAGUGACGAAAAUUGCAGAUUUUUUUCCAAAAAAAAAAAACUUCAAAAAUCUCCGAGAUUGUUUACUUACUUCUAAGCGUUCUGAAAAAUUGAAAGUUUGCGAAAAAAAAAAACAUUUGGAGCUAUUCUAAAGGCGUCCAGAAUAGUUCACAAAAAUGUUCCAACAAUACCAGUUUUCUUAAAUGUUGAAGUUUCAUUCGAAAGUAGAAUUUUAAAAUUUACGAUUUCCAAUUUUAAAUCCACGUAAUAUGAUGUCAUUUCCCAACAAAUAACCCAACAAACUUAAAUAAACCAAAAAGUUUGCAGUGAGCACUUUCACAAGUGCGCAUAAAUCCUCUAUUCUCUAUAAUUACACCCUUUGCAAAACAAAAAAAAAACGUUCCCCUCUCCUCUAUUUUUUUCAACUAACUAUUCAGCAGAGUUUUUAUUCUAACAGGAUGUCUCCACCGCAACGUGGAACUUCUCGACCGUGGAUUACUCGCCGAGAUCAGUGGUCAGUAUGAAUGGAGCAAGUCAUGAUAUUCUCAAGG